GACGAACGCUGGCGGCGUGCUUAACACAUGCCAGUCGAACGGAAAGGCCCCCACCUUGGUGGGGGUGCUCGAGUGGCGAACGGGUGAGUAACACGUGGGUGAUCUGCCCUGUACUUCGGGAUAAGCUUGGGAAACUGGGUCUAAUACCGGAUAGGACCAUGGUUUAGUGUCUCAUGGUGGAAAAAUUAUUGUUUUGGUGCAGGAUGGGCUCGCGGCCUAUCAGCUUGUUGGUGGGGUAAUGGCCUACCAAGGCGUCGACGGGUAGCCGGCCUGAGAGGGUGGACGGCCACAUUGGGACUGAGAUACGGCCCAGACUCCUACGGGAGGCAGCAGUGGGGAAUAUUGCACAAUGGGCGCAAGCCUGAUGCAGCGACGCCGCGUGGGGGAUGACGGCCUUCGGGUGGUAAACUCCUUUCGUUAGGGACGAAGCCACACCUUUUUUGGGUGUGGUGACGGUACCUUUGUUAAGAAGCACCGGCUAACUACGUG
This 489-nucleotide ribosomal RNA is filed under the name uncultured bacterium. RNAcentral's name for it is "partial 16S ribosomal RNA". It matches the Rfam family "Bacterial small subunit ribosomal RNA", at positions 28 to 507 of the family's 1533-position model. The record is from RNAcentral.